GACGAACGCUGGCGGCGUGCUUAACACAUGCAAGUCGAACGGAGUGGCGAACGGGUGAGUAACACGUGGGUGAUCUGCCUUGCACUUCGGGAUAAGCUUGGGAAACUGGGUCUAAUACCGGAUAGUGCAAGAUGAGCUCGCGGCCUAUCAGCUUGUUGGUGGGGUAAUGUCCUACCAAGGCGUCGACGGGUAGCCGGCUUGAGAGGGGGUACGGCAACAUUAGGACUGUGAUCCGGACCAGUCUGCAACGGGAGGCAGCAGUGGCGAAUAUUGCACAAGGGGCUGAAGCCGGAUGCAGCGACGCGCCGUGGGGGAUGAAGGCCUUCGGGUUGUAAACUCCUGUCGACAGAGACGCGGUACCUGUAUAAGAAGCACCGGCUAACUACGUGCCAGCAGCCGCGGUAAUAC
RNAcentral lists this ribosomal RNA (408 nucleotides) under uncultured bacterium. RNAcentral's name for it is "partial 16S ribosomal RNA". It matches the Rfam family "Bacterial small subunit ribosomal RNA", at positions 28 to 526 of the family's 1533-position model. The record is from RNAcentral.